UGGAGCUCCGCUAAGAGGCCCUUCAUGAUUGCCGUCGUCACCGGGGCCGAGUCUAGGUGAGGGGUUGUGGGUUUACUGGUUCUCUGCUCAGGCGUCUGACCUCCUGGUGUUCCCAGUGAGAAAUCCUCUGAGAUCUUCGAGUCGUCUGAGAGGUCAGCCAUGUUGGGCUCUGCUCCCCUCCGGGCCUGGCGCCAUAGAUUGCCGAUGUUCAUGCCCAUAUUCGGUUUCUCGGCCCUUGGCUUCUUGGUCUUUCUCCCCAUAGCGUGAGGGUGUGCUGUGGGCUCAGUUAGCCUGGUUUUGGGGUGUGAAAGACCACUUCAAUCGCUUGGUGAUUUGUUUGGUGGCCUGGAGUUCAGCGAACAUGCGGCCAUUCAGC
Molecule: non-coding RNA, 376 nt
Organism: Pelobates cultripes (western spadefoot toad)
Lineage: Eukaryota; Metazoa; Chordata; Amphibia; Anura; Pelobatidae
Source: the annotation of a GenBank genome assembly